AUGUUGAGACUUUUAGGACAACAGCAUCAGCAGGAUCGUCCCUGGUUAUGUUUGGGGGACUUCAACGAGAUCUUGUCUCUGGACGAAAAGGUGGGAGGGGUUGUUCGGCCGCACCGUCUCAUGGACAAUUUCAGGCAAGCCCUAGAGUCAUGCGAGCUCUCUGAUCUCGGUUAUGAGGGUGAUAAGUUCACGUGGAGAAACCAUAGUCGGGAGAGGCUUGAUAGAGCAGCAGCUAAUACUCCUUGGUGCCAGUGGUUCCCGGAGUUCACGGUCCUCAAUGGCGCCCCUCGUCACUCGGACCAUAGGCCGGUCAUAGUUUGCACCCAAGGAGAGAACAGGAGAGGGCCCGGGGGCGAUCGAGGCUUUCGGUUUGAGGCGUGGUGGCUGAAGGAGGAGGGGUGUAGUGAACAAGUCCAGGCGGCUUGA
This 426-nucleotide ribosomal RNA is filed under the name Triticum aestivum (bread wheat). RNAcentral's name for it is "partial small subunit ribosomal RNA". The record is from RNAcentral. Lineage: Eukaryota; Viridiplantae; Streptophyta; Magnoliopsida; Poales; Poaceae.